Molecule: ribosomal RNA, 893 nt
Filed under: Pseudomonas sp.
Lineage: Bacteria; Pseudomonadati; Pseudomonadota; Gammaproteobacteria; Pseudomonadales; Pseudomonadaceae
Description: bacterial SSU rRNA
Rfam family: Bacterial small subunit ribosomal RNA
Source: RNAcentral
UGCAAGUCGAGCGGUAGAGAGGUGCUUGCAUCUCUUGAGAGCGGCGGACGGGUGAGUAAUGCCUAGGAAUCUGCCUGGUAGUGGGGGAUAACGCUCGGAAACGGACGCUAAUACCGCAUACGUCCUACGGGAGAAAGCAGGGGACCUUCGGGCCUUGCGCUAUCAGAUGAGCCUAGGUCGGAUUAGCUAGUUGGUGAGGUAAUGGCUCACCAAGGCGACGAUCCGUAACUGGUCUGAGAGGAUGAUCAGUCACACUGGAACUGAGACACGGUCCAGACUCCUACGGGAGGCAGCAGUGGGGAAUAUUGGACAAUGGGCGAAAGCCUGAUCCAGCCAUGCCGCGUGUGUGAAGAAGGUCUUCGGAUUGUAAAGCACUUUAAGUUGGGAGGAAGGGCAUUAACCUAAUACGUUAGUGUUUUGACGUUACCGACAGAAUAAGCACCGGCUAACUCUGUGCCAGCAGCCGCGGUAAUACAGAGGGUGCAAGCGUUAAUCGGAAUUACUGGGCGUAAAGCGCGCGUAGGUGGUUUGUUAAGUUGGAUGUGAAAGCCCCGGGCUCAACCUGGGAACUGCAUUCAAAACUGACAAGCUAGAGUAUGGUAGAGGGUGGGUGGGAAUUUCCUGUGUAGCGGUGAAAUGCGUAGAUAUAGGAAGGAACACCAGUGGCGAAAGGCGACCACCUGGACUGAUACUGACACUGAGGUGCGAAAGCGUGGGGAGCAAACAGGAUUAGAUACCCUGGUAGUCCACGCCGUAAACGAUGUCAACUAGCCGUUGGGAGCCUUGAGCUCUUAGUGGCGCAGCUAACGCAUUAAGUUGACCGCCUGGGGGAGUACGGCCGCAAGGUUAAAAACUCAAAUGAAAUUGACGGGGGGCCCGCACAAGCGGUGGAA